This is a long non-coding RNA of Dicentrarchus labrax (European seabass), 360 nucleotides long. RefSeq lists it as uncharacterized. The transcript is spliced from 3 exons. Lineage: Eukaryota; Metazoa; Chordata; Actinopteri; Moronidae. The record is from RefSeq and is a predicted model, not a curated record.
GUGUCUGAAUCCUCUUUAGUCUGUCUAGGAAAUUUAGUUUUUAGUCUCUUUAAAUAAUAACAAACCUUUCAGCAGGAAACUUGGAAACGGCAUCAGUCCAGAAUCAUUGAAAUGAUGAAAGUCAUGAGACAACGGUCAAACUGCAACAAGUGGCAGGGUUGGAGAUGCUGCUAAAUUUCCCCUACCCGGAUUGAGAAAUCAUCACGUUAUCGGCACUAUCGUUACGACUGCAGUCGGAGAUCUAACAGUUUGCAGCGUGGAUGGCAGCGUGUUGAGAGCGGGGCAGGGAAACUGUUAGCUGAGCGCUAUCGCAGGGGAUCAGCAGUUUCAGGGAUUUCAUAAAUGAUUAUCUCAUUUGAG